GUGUCCAAGAAUGAUAUGAAAUAUGAAACAAAAAAGGCCUGCAGAUUUUAAGAUAAAAGCCAACAAGACAACUCCACCACAUAACCAGACAUCCAUGCACCUUGAUCUCUUCCAUCUUGUACAGGAAACAACAAGCAAACAACCAUUCAAUGCCUAACAGCUUGAACUGCAUCAGUGUUGACUACUUCAGCCCAAAUCAGGAAAAAUCCUUUGGUAUUUGCCGGACC
Molecule: long non-coding RNA, 227 nt
Filed under: Elaeis guineensis (African oil palm)
Lineage: Eukaryota; Viridiplantae; Streptophyta; Magnoliopsida; Arecales; Arecaceae
Description: long non-coding RNA (EGUI_LNC007083)
Source: RNAcentral